This 264-nucleotide ribosomal RNA is filed under the name uncultured bacterium. RNAcentral's name for it is "partial 16S ribosomal RNA". It matches the Rfam family "Bacterial small subunit ribosomal RNA", at positions 47 to 339 of the family's 1533-position model. The record is from RNAcentral.
CCUAAUACAUGCAAGUCGAACGAGACCUUCGGGUCUAGUGGCGCACGGGUGCGUAACGCGUGGGAAUCUGCCCUUGGGUUCGGAAUAACAGUUAGAAAUGACUGCUAAUACCGGAUGAUGGCGUAAGUCCAAAGAUUUAUCGCCCAAAGAUGAGCCCGCGUAGGAUUAGCUUGUUGGUGAGGUAAAAGCUCACCAAGGCGACGAUCCUUAGCUGGUCUGAGAGGAUGAUCAGCCACACUGGGACUGAGACACGGCCCAGACUCC